ACGGGAGGCAGCAGUGGGGGAUAUUGCACAAUGGGGGAAACCCUGAUGCAGCGACGCCGCGUGAGUGAAGAAGUAUUUCGGUAUGUAAAGCUCUAUCAGCAGGAAAGAAAAUGACGGUACCUGACUAAGAAGCCCCGGCUAACUACGUGCCAGCAGCCGCGGUAAUACGUAGGGGGCAAGCGUUAUCCGGAUUUACUGGGUGUAAAGGGAGCGUAGACGGCGAUGCAAGUCUGAAGUGAAAACCCAAGGCUCAACCAUGGGACUGCUUUGGAAACUGUAUUGCUAGAGUGCAGGAGAGGUAAGUGGAAUUCCUAGUGUAGCGGUGAAAUGCGUAGAUAUUAGGAGGAACACCAGUGGCGAAGGCGGCUUACUGGACGAUAACUGACGCUGAGGCUCGAAAGCGUGGGGAGCAAACAGGAUUAGAUACCCUGGUA
This 434-nucleotide ribosomal RNA is filed under the name uncultured Lachnospiraceae bacterium. RNAcentral describes it as "partial 16S ribosomal RNA". It matches the Rfam family "Bacterial small subunit ribosomal RNA", at positions 341 to 792 of the family's 1533-position model. The record is from RNAcentral. Lineage: Bacteria; Bacillati; Bacillota; Clostridia; Lachnospirales; Lachnospiraceae.